AUGCAUGCCCUUAUCGGUAUGGUUCCUCCGGAGCCUCGGGAACCAGAAGCAGAAGACCAGAAGAAGGAAAGAGUGGCAGCCGGUGCUCCUUUCAGCUGGAUUGCAUGGAACUUUGGUACUUGCCCUCGGGAAGGUAAUGAGGAUGAGGUAAAGACAUAUGCUCGUGUCUACAUGUGGUAUGUUAUAUCCAGGACUAUGUUUGCUGAUGGCACGGGUGACGGUGUCCUGGACUAG
This 234-nucleotide ribosomal RNA is filed under the name Triticum aestivum (bread wheat). RNAcentral describes it as "partial small subunit ribosomal RNA". Lineage: Eukaryota; Viridiplantae; Streptophyta; Magnoliopsida; Poales; Poaceae. The record is from RNAcentral.